GGCCUGAUAGUUCAGUGGUAGAAUUCUUGCUUUGGGUUAAAUUGUAAGAGGUCUCCGGUUCAAUCCCGGAUUAGGCCC
Molecule: transfer RNA, 78 nt
Filed under: Blumeria graminis f. sp. tritici
Lineage: Eukaryota; Fungi; Ascomycota; Leotiomycetes; Helotiales; Erysiphaceae
Also listed under: 1 other name
Rfam family: tRNA
About the family: Transfer RNA (tRNA) molecules are approximately 80 nucleotides in length.
Source: Rfam by way of RNAcentral